AUGGUAGGUGUGAUUGAUCUUGGAGGUGGGUCUGUGCAAAUGGCAUAUGCCAUUUCUCCUGACGCUGCUGCUGCCGCACCACGAGUGCCUCACGGCAAGGAUCCUUAUGUUACAAAAGAGUAUCUCAAGGGAAGAGAUUACAACGUUUAUGUUCACAGCUACUUACGCUACGGCGCCUUAGCUUCUCGUGUAGAGAUCUUCAAGGCUAAGGAAGGACCAUUUAGCUACUGCAUGCUUCGUGGCUUCAGUGCUACAAUGGUGAGGAGUACAAUGCUACCGCGUCAACGGGAGGUGCACAAUAUUGGAAGUGCAGACGUGAUGUAG
RNAcentral lists this ribosomal RNA (324 nucleotides) under Triticum aestivum (bread wheat). Its description in RNAcentral is "partial small subunit ribosomal RNA". The record is from RNAcentral. Lineage: Eukaryota; Viridiplantae; Streptophyta; Magnoliopsida; Poales; Poaceae.